UUCCGGUUGAUCCUGCCGGACCCGACUGCUAUUUGGGUGAGGAUAAGCCAUGCGAGUCGAAUGGGAUACCUAAAUUUCCCAUGGCGAACUGCUCAAUAACACAUGAUCAACUUACCCUAUAGAGAAAAAUAACCUCGGGAAACUGAGGAUAAUGUUUCAUAGUUGAAAAGGCUUGGAAAAGUUUUUCGACCAAAGGGAUAAGAAAAAUGGUUUUUAUCCGCUAUAGGAUAGGAUCGUGGUCGAUUAUGGUCGUUGGUGAGGUAAUGGCUCACCAAGCCGAUAAUCGAUAGGGGCCGUGAGAGCGGGAGCCCCGAGAUGGGUACUGAGACAGCGACCCAGGCCUUACGAGGCGCAGCAGGCGCGGAACCUCCGCAAUACACGAAAGUGUGACGGGGUUACCCAAAGUGUUCAAUUUUGAACUGUGGUAGGUGAGUAAUGUUCCCUACUAGAAAGGAGAGGGCAAGGCUGGUGCCAGCCGCCGCGGUAAAACCAGCUCUUCAAGUGGUCGGGAUAAUUAUUGGGCUUAAAGUGUCCGUAGCCGGUUUAGUAAGUUCCUGGUAAAAUCGGGUAGCUUAACUAUCUGCAUGCUAGGAAUACUGCUAUACUAGAGGACGGGAGAGGUCUGAGGUACUACAGGGGUAGGGGUGAAAUCUUAUAAUCCUUGUAGGACCACCAGUGGCGAAGGCGUCAGACUGGAACGUGCCUGACGGUGAGGGACGAAAGCCAGGGGAGCGAACCGGAUUAGAUACCCGGGUAGUCCUGGCCGUAAACGAUGCAUACUAGGUGAUGGCAUGGCCAUGAGCCAUGUCAGUGCCGUAGGGAAACCGUUAAGUGUGCCGCCUGGGAAGUACGGUCGCAAGGCUAAAACUUAAAGGAAUUGGCGGGGGAGCACCACAAGGGGUGAAGCCUGCGGUUCAAUUGGAUUCAACGCCGGAA
Molecule: ribosomal RNA, 936 nt
Filed under: uncultured archaeon
Lineage: Archaea
Description: bacterial SSU rRNA
Rfam family: Archaeal small subunit ribosomal RNA
Source: RNAcentral